UAUGUGAUCGUCUCUCGCAUAUCAAUAAGCGGAGGAAAAGAAACUAACAAGGAUUCCCCUAGUAACGGCGAGUGAAGCGGGAAGAGCUCAAAUUUGAAAUCUUAAAGGGUUUCCCUUUACGAAUUGUAGUUUAAAGAAGUGUUUUCUGUUGAGGUUUUGGUAAAAGUUCUUUGGAAUAGGACAUCAUAGAGGGUGAGAAUCCCGUAUUUGACCUUUACUUUCAACUUUGUGAUACACUUUCAAAGAGUCGGAUUGUUUGGGAAUGCAGUCCAAAAUGGGUGGUAAAUUUCAUCUAAAGCUAAAUAUUGGCGAGAGACCGAUAGCGAACAAGUACCGUGAGGGAAAGAUGAAAAGAACUUUGAAAAGAGAGUUAAACAGUACGUGAAAUUGUCAAAAGGGAAGCGUUUGACACCAGUGUUGUUUUUCUGAAAAUCAAUUAAAGAACUGUUUAUGCUAAGUUGUUUAGACUUUAUCAGCUAACUGUUUAGUUUUGAGCUUUUCUUUAAUGCACUUUUCAGUUAACAAGUCAACAUCAAUUUCUUUUGCUGAUAAAAAAGCUUGAGGAAGGUGGCUUGAGAUUCGUCUUAAGUGUUUAUAGCCUCUUGCCUAUGCAGUCGGAGAGAUUGAGGUCUGCAGCGUAGAUCCUUCGGGGCUAAAUGCAUUUGUGCUAAGUUGUAGCAUUUUAUAGACAACUUGUUGACUAUGACUUGUCUUGUAGCUUACUCGCUUAUGUUAUUUUACCUACGCUUAGGAUGUUGAGUAGCGACAUACGCAC
Molecule: ribosomal RNA, 775 nt
Filed under: uncultured Neocallimastigales
Lineage: Eukaryota; Fungi; Neocallimastigomycota; Neocallimastigomycetes; Neocallimastigales
Description: partial large subunit ribosomal RNA
Rfam family: Eukaryotic large subunit ribosomal RNA
Source: RNAcentral